UGGGGAAUCUUCCGCAAUGGACGAAAGUCUGACGGAGCAACGCCGCGUGAGUGAAGAAGGUUUUCGGAUCGUAAAACUCUGUCUUUUGGGGCGAACGUGAGUAUGGUGAACAAUCAUAGUCAGUGACGGUACCAAAGGAGGAAGCCACGGCUAACUACGUGCCAGCAGCCGCGGUAAUACGUAGGUGGCAAGCGUUGUCCGGAAUUAUUGGGCGUAAAGAGCGCGUAGGCGGGAUAGUCAGUCUGUUGUAAAGUGCGGGGCUCAACCCCGUGAUCGCAAUGGAAACAGCUAUUCUUGAGUGCAGGAGAGGAAAGUAGAAUUCCCAGUGUAGCGGUGAAAUGCGUAGAUAUUGGGAGGAACACCAGUGGCGAAGGCGACUUUCUGGACUGUGUCUGACGCUGAGGCGCGAAAGCCAGGGGAGCGAACGGGAUUAGAUACCCCCGGUAGUCCCCGGCCGUAAAACGAUGGGUACUAGGUGUGGGAGGUAUCGACCCCUUCCGUGCCGGAGUUAACGCAAUAAGUACCCCCGCCUGGGGAGUACGGUCGCAAGACUGAAACUCAAAUGAAUUGAC
Molecule: ribosomal RNA, 572 nt
Filed under: uncultured bacterium
Lineage: Bacteria
Description: partial 16S ribosomal RNA
Rfam family: Bacterial small subunit ribosomal RNA
Source: RNAcentral